This 2376-nucleotide small RNA is filed under the name Arabidopsis thaliana (thale cress). Its description in RNAcentral is "ATSL096960". Lineage: Eukaryota; Viridiplantae; Streptophyta; Magnoliopsida; Brassicales; Brassicaceae. The record is from RNAcentral.
GUGGUCGGUAGCGGAGUGACGAGCUUUGUGGUGUUUUUUCCUUUUUUUUUUUUUUUUUUUUUUACAGCAAACGUCUACGGUUUUUUUUUUUUUCAUAAGUAUUACCCUUUUUAUUAAAAACAGCAGUUGUAAACGAUACAACAGUGGAAGAACAUCCACUUUCAGAGUUUGACACACACUUUUACCACUUACAACAUUAAAUUAUCUAACUAGAGAGUCAUCUAAGUUGUAAAGCAAAAGAGUAUAGUAAGGGUAAUUAGAGCAGAGCAUUACACCACAUAACAAUACACUUCGGGUAUGCCAAAACCAAAAAGGGAUAUUAGGCCAUACCAUCUUCUUCAUAUCUUGUGGCUGCUUGAUUGAAUUGAAAGCAACUAAAUCAAAAAACAUGACAGAAUUAUAACAGAGUGAUCAACGCUUUUUUGGAGGUUUCAGAAUCCCUCCAUUCAUAUGCUCAUCUUCAUUGGACUUUCUUGCAUCAUCUUUAAACUUGGGACCACCCAUGUUCUUUCUUUUUGAUGAAUCCCCCUUUUCCACCGUGUGAACAUUCUGAGUAUUCUCACCUUGCCUUGAUGAUUCACCUACUUCCACCAGACGUGGAGAGUGUGCUGCAAAUGCAGGUCCGGAGAAAGGCUGGAUGUUAGAAUCCCUUUCAUCCACAUUUCUUCUAAGAGGUACCUGAGGCAAAGGACCUGCAAAGUUUGGUAAAGAGGUAGCUCUUGUAUGAGGGUAAUAUGCAGCCACCAAUUCAUCAGGAUUUAAAGGAGGAUGAGGAAUCCUUGGAGGUGGAUCAAUAGGAGUAGGAAACGAACUCUCAGACAUUUGAGAUUGUGAAUUCAUUGAAGAUCUCAGAUUUUCAUCUCUCAUGAACACCUCUUCUCUAACAUUCCUUUGAGCUGUAGUGUUAGUCACCCUAUGGAGAGACUCAAUCUGCCUGUAAAGACAUGAGUUCCUGUGAUGAGUCAUUCUGAAGCAGCUACUACAGAUUCUCCUAAGUCUUUCAUACUGAAAGCUAAUCAGAGCAGUCUCACCAGAAUCAAAAAUGAUUCUUAGGAAAAACCUCAGGCGAUCUGUAAUUCCAAACCGGAUUCUCACACGGAUAUAAGCUAUUUGAGUCGUAGUGGAGUCAUGAAAAUCCAGAGUGAUGAUCUCUCCUAACUCAUGUGCUAUCUCUAAAGCAGUUUCCUCACACACAUACAAAAGAGGAAUUCCACGCAUCUGAACCCAUAAUUCAAUAGAUGUUAACAGGUGAAACGUAAGAUUUACCUCCCAUCUCUGAGCUGUCACAAACCAGUUGUUAUACAGCCAAGGCUCCCUUCGUAGUACUGACAAGAGAUCAAUCUCAGAUUGAAAGAUGAACUGGACAAACGUGUCAUUAAGGACCCGGCCAUGCACUCUAUUAGUCAGACCCCAUGCUCUUGGUAAAGCCGAGAUCACAGCGUGAAGGUUCUGAGAGCGAGGAUUAAGAGGUCUAGCUAUCAGACUAAGCCGAUUCCUAGACUCCACAAUGGCAUAGGCUUCAUGCGGAAUAAAGAGAGCAGGAUCCUCCCUUCCCAACUCCAAGUGUUGUAACUCAUCCCACAACUCGUCUGCCAUAGCACCAGAAGUGAGAGUGAAAGUGAAAAGCAAGAGAAGGUUGUGAUACUAGCUUAACCUUAAGAGACGCUUAUAUAGAACAACCUAAAGUAAGAAAAGAGCGAGACAAACAAAAACUCAAGCUAAAAGACAAAUAAGACUAAGUCAAAGAUAAGGUAAAAUCUAUUAAUUGGAAAAAGAAAAACCGUAAAAAAAGAAGGUUUAUCUUAAAAAAGAAUAAACAACCACACUAAAAAACAAAUUUAUUUAGCUUAACCUAAUGGAAACCUAAAAAGUAAAUAAAUCUCUAAAAGCAAUCAUAACACAAGAGGACACUAAGCGAGAAAACACCGACACCUAACUAAAUAUCACACACGACCCCUAACACAAAUCACAACCUUUCUGCUAUUCAACACCUUUCCUCAUCAAACAGUAAUCGCAGCCAGCUAGGACAUCCCCUAGCCACGUAAGAUUGACAUCUAAAACCAGUAACAACAUUUUGUGCAAUCAAGGAAGCACCUCUAUUUACACUCAGGAGGUUCCAAUAACAAAAACCAAUCCGGUUUGUCCUUAGUGAAACUCAAAAGCUCAGCAAUAUGUCCAGUUAAUAUAGGCCAUUCCUUUGGUUUGUUCAGAGCACUAAUGAUUUCAAAAGAGGAAUAUCCAAACGUGACCUUAUCAAACCGAUGAUCUAACAUGCUACUUAGAGCCCAUUCCCAACUUCUUGAUUUUGCAUCAGAAAGAGAAUGUACCUGAGCAAAUGACCGGCGACUAUGCAAUAAGACUGAACCCUGGUCAUCU